Long non-coding RNA from Felis catus (domestic cat), 1178 nucleotides. RefSeq lists it as uncharacterized. NCBI's taxonomy places the organism in Eukaryota, Metazoa, Chordata, Mammalia, Carnivora, Felidae. The transcript has 2 exons. The record is from RefSeq and is a predicted model, not a curated record.
GGGGGGGGGGGGGGAGGAGGCAGGGGUGAGGGGUGGAAGGAAACCUGCAGCUGUGUCCCUUUUCAUGCUUCGUGGUUUCUGAAUUAAGCUACUGUAUGCUCCUUAAAAAACUGGAUCUUCAAGAAGAACUGGGGCUGGACAGAUUCCCAGGGUGAAUUGGAAAGGGAGGGUUCCCUCUGGAACAGGGCAGCUCGGUGUUACUCCCUCCGGCUCUCUCUCUCUGGCCUCUUAAUUCCACGUGGCCCAAGUCUCUUGAAGUGCAGCCUGAGCUCUGCUUCCUUCGGCCUUCCUGUCCCUCGUUCUUGUUGGUGGCAUCCCUGUCCGCCCGAUGGCCCUCAGCGAAGGCGAGGCAGCUUCCCUGGACGCCCCGUCCUCGCGGCUGUCCUCUGCAGCCCGUGGGUCGUCAGAAACGCUGACGUGGACAGUUGGGGGUGUUGCACAGUCAGUAGGACCUGGGCUCCUUGGAACUUGUCACUGCCGUCCUCAUCUUGGGGCUUCGACGUCGCGGUCCAAGAUGACCUUUGGCGUUCCAGCCAUCAUAGGCGUUCCAGCCACCAGGAUGGGCGAAGGCGCAAAAGAGGCGUGCCCCCUUUUAGACACUUUGUGGUCGUUGAGCCGGAUGGGCCAGAAACAGCUGUGUGGCCACCCCUGAUUGCAGGGCAGGCAGGAAAAAGUUCUAUUUCUGUUGACCGUGUACCCAGCUAAAAGCCUACCGUCCCUGGGGUCAAAACGACCACCCGUUGGCGUCCGUCGUGUUCUCUGCCGCAGCCUCCCGCACGCUUCCGGUGGGAUCUCCCGCUGCCCCCGCUCACGGUCAGCCCCCUGUAGACGGCACAGCGCCCGGCAGUGUCACCCCGUGUUUACUGGUCCGUGAUGGCUGAGAUUAGGGCCGUCAUAGAAGUCCUGCUUCGUCCCUCAGGCUGAGGACUCUCACAAGAAGAGCACACGUUUAAAACACAACUUCACAAAGAAUUUGGGUAAUUCAAGGGCAAGAUAUAGAAACACUCAUUAAGGGGAACUAGGAUGGCUUGGUGAUAUGCCAGAGGGCAUUAUGGUUGGUGGUUUUGCUCUAAAUACCCAUUUCUACCUCUGAACAGAAGCUAAAAGUAGUGUUUUUGAGGGUUUUUUUUUUUCCUUUGGAAAUGCAAUUUACUUUGACAUUUCAAGCAAAAUGAAGG